This is a long non-coding RNA of Ficedula albicollis (Collared flycatcher), 3672 nucleotides long. The record is from Ensembl. NCBI's taxonomy places the organism in Eukaryota, Metazoa, Chordata, Aves, Passeriformes, Muscicapidae.
AUGAGGAACUUACCUCCUGUUGAUCCUUCACCUGCCUUAAUAUCUGAAGCCCUAAUGGAAGAAGAUUUCAAAGAUCUUCCUUUCAGGUUAGAGAGGAGACAGGAAUGGGAACAUGUGGAAGAGAGCAGUGUUUUGGUUUGUGCCUUUCUCCCCCUGGCUUUUUGUUAUCCAGUAGCCCAGUUGUUAUUCCUGUGUAGCUGGAUUCUCUCCCAUACCCUAAAGAACUUCAAACCCGUUACUUCACAAGUGCGAAUGCUUUACUAUAAUCAGGCAGCACUUGACUAUUUAGUAGUGAAGCUGUUCUGCUUUUCAUGAAGUUUCUCAAGACUCAUGAGGCAUUCCAGACUGCAGCAUCACUGAACCUUCAAGGCACACUCCAGUCCCUACUCAUCCAGCUUUUGGAAGCAAUAGCACAUAAUGUUGUUGUCAGUCAAAAAAAAAUGUUUUAAAGGGCAACUGGUUAUGUCUUUACUUUUAGCAAGAAUUAAUGUGCCAUUGCUAUAUUGGUUUUAGUUUCAAAAUUGGUGUGAAAAUUACUUAGAACAUGAGUAAGACCCUUGAAUCUUUUUCUUUAGUGUAUUAGGCUCCUAAGUGUAUUCCGUAUACUGGGUUAUAGAAAUUUGAGAGGGAAGAAAUUGUAGGACAAAGGCAGAAUCUGGUUUCUUUCACAUUUUGAACCAGAUCUGUGCUGGCAGUUAGUGAAUGGUAAGUACACCUGUGGGGGAUCUUUUCCAUUUUGAUUUAUAGACAAUGAACUUAAUUCUUAUUUCAGCAAAUGUAUUUCCUCAGCCCCCCUCUCUGAUUUGUAUCAAAGGCCAAUGUUUGCUUCUAAGAAAACAGGACAAAUAAUUAGCUAGUACACACCAACACACAUUCAGAACAGUUUCAGAGAGGGUUAUGGAAACCCACUUUGUUUGUAUCAUAAAUAUACCAAGCAUAGGUACAGGAUGUUCUGAAGAUCAUUACAGGUUUUGAUCAAGGAUUUUGUGAGUAGUCUAAUACCAUAUUCUCUGGUUUAUUUUCUUCUAGAAGUAAGUAGAGUCCUUCAUUCAAAAAACAGCCCAGCUAAACUAUCAUGAGUGCUAGGAUGGGAGUUCCAGACUAAGAUGAAAUGGAAUCUCAUUUUACCCAUUUGAAAGCUAAAUGCUUUAUUUCACAGAAUACUUUAUCAUCUUAAAGUAACAAAUGCCUUUAACUAGCAGUUGAUAAAUGUUUGUAUUUUCUUUACAGUUGUUAAAGAUAUAAAGCUUCAUCUCAGAGGUUUCUUCCCCUUCUGAAAUGGCUUGAAAACAAACCAGCACUAAAUGUGCAAAAUAAAUUAGAAACAUCAAAACUGAUAGUCCCAGGCUCCUAAUUAAAUAGCAUGUGAGCUUUUGUACUUCCUAGGGGCUAGUUUGCCAGCUCCCUCCUCAGCAAACUAAGUUUCCUAUUACAUAGUGAAAUGUCUGUCUUGUUUACCUUCUGUGUACUGGGACAGCCCAAGGGUUUAAUGGGAGUGUGGAUUCUCUACCAAGCUUGUAACAGUUGGAUAGUGGAGAUCACUAUCAGCAAUACAGAUUUCUAUCUUAUUUGCUACUGAUAGAAAUACAUUUUCUAGAUGGUCAAUCUAGAUAAGCAAGGUGCUCUUGCAGAAGGCUUGGUUCCCUAUCUGAUUUAUAUUUUUUUAGCCAUGAAAUAGGAUUCCUGUAUCUGUGGUUAUCUGUUCUGGAAAUGAUGAGAUGCUGUAGAUUUUAUAGGAUUUAAAUUUCCUUUUUCAUUUUCCUUCCUGCUCCACUCUGCAUUUCUCUAGCUAUGCUGUACAAGUUGAGAAUUACUUAGUAUAUGGAAUUACAACCACAUAAUGGAGUGUGACUAUGACUCUGCUAAAAUGCACAGAGAACAUAUUUCCUACUGGAAACAAUGGUUUAAAUAUAAGAUGGGAAUUAUCAGUUACUACUUUUCCCUAGCUUGAUUUGUGGAGUGCAUUUGCUAUUGAUGGCUGGCUAUUAAGCUUUCACUAGCCUUACUUAAACUAAUUUUAGUGUUCACACCUGCAGUCAGCCAGCAGGAGCCAAAAGCAGCAUCAUAGUUGUGGGGCUAAACUCUCUACUUGGGUCAAAAACCCUAAGGAUUAUCACUGAUAGAAUUAUUUGUAGACUGGGCUGCAAAUCCUAAAAUUAAGUAUACAGUGAGUCACGCUCCUCUCUUUUUUUUCUUGUUUUUUUCAACCCAUACUCUCACAUGAAGUGUGUGCACAUAGCUGAUGUGUUCUUAGUGAAGGCUUUUGCACCACAAAAUCAUACUUUGGUUAUAGCCACUGUAUGCAAAAUCAAAUCAGAGAAAUAAGACAGCUAGCAACUAACAGAAAAAAAAAAACCAAAACAUUCCAUCCCAUUUCCUUCCUGAAGUCUACGUAAUUGGCUUAUUUCCUUAUGGGACUGGAAGAUGACAAUGAAAAUCUGUGAUCAAGAGCAUCUAUUCCUAGCUGAGAAUGAAGGAAAUCUUCCUUAUUCCAUCCUAAUCUCACCUGCACUUUCCUGACUCACUGAUUGCACCUGGAGGCAAAGGGGAGUUGGGGGGCACAUUUCUGUCCAAGAUCAGAUAAGUCAUCCAUCAUUACACUAAGAAGAACAUUACAGAAGUUUAAAUCGACCAUUUUUAAAAGUCAGCCCUUUUAAUUCCCUUCAAAUGGUUGUUUGGUUAAAGGAACUUUUGUCUUAAGAUCAGUAGUUCCUAUUUACCAGCUACAGUCUCUUUCUAUUCUGAGCUACAUAUACUAAUAAUUGGAGUUUAAUUACCUUUAUUUUAAAGACUGAGUCCAGAAUCAACUAAUCUUGUUUCUCAAUCUGAAAAAAAUGUAAAAGAAAAGAACUGCCAGAGAGAUAAAAGACAAGCUGUGUUUCUCAAGAUCUGGCUUCUAACAUUCAGAAGUCUGUAGAAAUGCAGCUCCUACAGUGCCAAUACAAGCACACAACUGCCCUUUCUUUGCUGCCACCAGUUUUGCUAUGAACAGAUGAACAGCACUAUAGUCCUUAAUAUCCAUGUCCUUUGCUAAGGAGUCAACUUUGAUAACUUACACUCUUUUAUUUCAACAUUUCUGCUAUUAAAAGAAGGCUGUGUGUGAUACUUCUGCCUGCCAAUAGUGAAGUGGGUUAAUCAGCUCUUCAGAUGUCUGUGUAUUAAGCUUGCAACUCAUGAUUUUUCAGUAAAAGAUGAUACUCCUACAGCAUUGUGUUUGAGAGACAGCCAGUCAGGAAUGCAAGAACAUCAGGAUGCCACUCAGAACUAGUUCUCCCUCUUGGUAAACAUGGGAAGUUGUUUUAUAAUUUUCUCUGAAAUUCUUUCAGUGAAGUUCAAUUGAACUGGAGACUUAUGUGAGAUUGUUACUGAUAAAAUGUAGUUUUAUUAAAUUAUAAAUUCUGUAACAAAAACAAGACAGAUCAAGAAAAAUCUCAAAAAACAAAACUACAAGGACUAGAUGGCAAAGCCAGUGAAAAAGCCAUGGAGAGUGUAAAGGUAAGGAUUUGCAACACAAGUUAACAGCAUUUUUACAUUUCCAUUGAAGGAAGGUAAAUGAUUGCUCUUGUCUAGUAAAAACAUAUUUUAACUCCAAACUCACAUCUAUUUUCUCACAUUAAAUUAAGCAUCCUGCUCACACCCAACACCUUGCUUGAUUCCACAUAGCCUUUAGUG